CCUGUGUUUGGCUGGCAGAUAGAGCAUAGGCCAUCUCUUAAAGAAGGCUAAGCUUGAAGGCCUUUGUUUCACAUGGAUAUGGGAAGGCCUUGCUGCUUAUACCUUGAUGUUCUCAUCUAUGGUCAUGCCAACACAUGCUAUCCAAACUAGAAUGUGAUUGGGCUUCUUAGUCACUGGCCCAGACAGAUGUGACACCCUGUCCACAAUCUUGGUCAUCAGGACAUGUGGCUCAGAGGGAAGGUUUUCCUUAGUGUUAGUUGGGUCUAGUGGAAUUCUGUCACCUGUUUAUUUUCUUUCCUUUCAAGGUUGCCAAAAGCAGUGGCAGCAGGAAAGCAACAGCAGGGGAAAUGCCCAGUCCUAACCCAUUCCAGGACUGAGCUAUAGGGAACAGGCAUGGUACAUUAAUAUUUUCCAUUCUCCAGCCAGGAGAUCUCUAUUCUCUGAGCUGUAGCCAGGAGCCCAGAGAGAGAUCCUGGGCAUAUUCAAACUAAGUGGCAUGGAGAAAGUAGCAAUUUUAUUCUACUGUAAAUUGAGGAGUAAAAAGGGUUAUGGUUACAGGUGCUACAGGAUGUUGUCCUGACAUACAGUUGGUCUGCCUUUUAGUGCCAAGUAUAUUCCUGCCUUUACUCUGCUAGUUUGAAGGGGUCAUGCUUGUAGGAUCACUAGAGUCUGCUACCAGUCCUGCCUGGAGGUUAUUCUUGGCUCUGCGGUGGUCAUGGCCAGCCUGGGCCCCUGCCAGACAGCUUAUGCCUCUUGGCUUUAGGGCUUCCUUGCACCACUCUUACUGAAGCCAUGAAACCUGCAAUGAUUGAGGUUGUGCUUCAGACUACGAGGCCUAGGCACAAUUCUGGACUCACUCCCCAGUGAGGUGCCCUCUUCCCAGGGAGUUUGAUCCUGUGCCUCCCAUGUUAGUAAUAGGAAUGCUGAAACUCCCAGAUCUGGCCACUCAAACAAGGCCAGGGUGACAUCCCAUAGGGAGCACCAGGGCCAAAAAGGCCAGUGUCUGCGCUAUAGGCCCAGUCACUUGGACUGAAGGUGGGAAGAGGCAAUGUGCUCAUGGCUUUGGCUGUUCUCAAAGGAAGAAAAGCACUUGGGAGUGGGCCAGUACCUGGGAGCAAAGGAACUGCUCCAUCUCUGGGAUCCAAAGGGGCCUUUACUCAAAGCACAGAGCCUACCAUUGUUGCAGAAGGCUUGUCUCAGGAGAGGAAGCCACAGAGCAGACCUGGAGAGAUUAUGUGGCCAUAGCUACUGCCUCAGCUUACCCUCUGUCCCUGCAGCUCCACUGUGUCAUCCAUAUGCCCCUUUCUUUAAAUCUAAGCAUAAGGAAAAGGAGUGUUUGGUGAAAUAGGCCUAGGGCAAGUAGUCUUCAGAGGAGCAUAAACAUAAUCUUAACCUCCAUUGGUAGUGGGUGGAGCAGGUGGUGCUUGUAAAAAGCACUGAGCUCAAUUUGGGGCAGCCAGGAAGAAAUGACUGGAAGGAACAUUUUCUCAAACCCUUAGAGUCAGACACUAAUUUUUGUACUUGGCAGAAUUUCAGAUAGUCACAGUGAUGGAAAGGCUUGAGGAAAAGGAAAGGGAAUCAGUUUCACUAGGUUUAUGAAAGUUUGAACACCUUCAUAUAUAUUGCAGAGGAGCUCCAUGGAUUGGGACACUGGAAAGGGUCAUCCCAGACAGGGGGGUUGGGAUGGGCCUUCUGCAACUCUGGUCUGGGGGAACAAAGGAACCUCUUCAUUAGUAAAAAGCUACAUGCCUAAUGGAGAGGAGGCUAGUUAUUCCUCCAUGUUUUGCUUCUUAGGACUCUUGUGGACUGGGAACUCUAUGCUGGGGUCCUCUGGGCCCUCUAUAGCAUGCACCUACCAAGAAAACUUGCUGUCUUGGAACAGGAAGAGAGAUAGUCCCGAAUGGGCCUGAUCCUACUGUGGAAGAAAUUCAGGGCCUGCUUUGCUAGGCCCUGGGAUGUACCUGGCCUGAUCCGACCAUGGUCUUUCACCACUCACCCACAGAAAGCUAGAAGCUGCAGUUCCACAGAGGUAGGCAUCACCUUGUCUGUGAAGGAUCAGGGAAGAAGAAGAUAUAUUUCCAGUCUCUAUGACUGAUGCUGAGGCAGGAGAAAAAAGCGGUUCAGCUCUCAAAGCCCAGAGCUUGUCUCUACUCAAAAUUCCCUGUCUGUAAUCCAGCAGCCCAAGGCCAUUGGCAUACAAGGUGAUUUACCAGGAGAAUAAGCAAGAGUCCCUGUGCUGAAUGUGUUUUAAUCUUCUCAGUGUAAAACCCCAGGUCUGGCUGCUUCAGAGGCAGUCCUUGGACCCAAGAGUCCUGUGCUUUUGCUUUUUAUUUUUUCUGGCUAAACUAAAUAAUGGCCCCUCCUAACUGAUCAAUCUUGGGAGUAUGCCUAAGAAGUAUUUACAAAAAGUUGUGGGUUUUAAAAUGUUCAGAGCCAUAUACAUGAAUCCAAAUUGAUCUUCUGUCUCCUUCAUUUCAGUACUGAAUAAUCCAACCCUUGAAGUUUCUCACCCUGAUUCUGGAUCAGGCAGUUUCUACAGAAGGAGAGCAUAUAGUACUCUUACCAUGACCCUGGUUGCAGCUCCCCACUUUCCUCUGAGCAUCUCCACACUGAGCUGUACGCUCCUUCUUCUGUAAGCACCCAAUUUAGUACAAGUGCCUUGAACAAUGGAGAUAUGUUAGCUUCUACAUGAUCAAGCCAACCCCCUCUCUAGUAUUAAAAUUUGGCUAAACCUAAGUUGUCAGGCUGGAAACAGAACCUGGACUCCGGGGCCAGGGCUGACCCACAACAUGCAGUGACUUGAGAACUUAAUGAGAACUUAGUAAGGACAGCUGGGGCUCAGACAUGUAGGGAGAAGCAGCAACUCAGGCCCUAUCUCAGUGAUGGGGAGAAGAAUGAAUCUUCUUCUGUGAGGCCUUGCUCAGACUUUCUCUGAUCAAGAGCUGAGAUGCAAAUCUUCUUCUUAGCUCCAGCUUCUUACCCUCAUUGUUAGGGUGGUUGAAAGGAGUCUUCACUGAGGGCUUCUGUGGAACUGCUCUUUCUUGGGCUGUGGGAGAGGCUGGCUCUUGUUCUUUAUGCAAUGGCACACUUUUUUUUUUUUUUCCAGGUCUACAGGUGAGUUGAGGUGGAAAGAUGGAAAAGCACAAGGCUUCUCUUUUCUUUUUCCAUC
Neofelis nebulosa (Clouded leopard) is the source of this 3169-nucleotide long non-coding RNA. RefSeq lists it as uncharacterized. The transcript is spliced from 2 exons. The record is from RefSeq and is a predicted model, not a curated record. Lineage: Eukaryota; Metazoa; Chordata; Mammalia; Carnivora; Felidae.